CAUAAAGAGUACACUAAGUGGAAAGUGCAUCCCUCUGAAGUUCGAGCUUCAGUUCUCUCCUGAAGAGAAAGGGAAGAAGAACGUCCAUAUCGACAUACUACAAGGGUCAGCAACCCUUGCAGAAAGAGAGUAUAUCAUUUCAAUAGAAGAUGAACCGGAUUAUGCAGUCGAUCCCCCAUAUUCACUGGGGGGAAUGCAGUAUGUUUCCAAUGAUCUUCUCGAGACCCUGGCAGAUGUAAUCCAUACACCAACGAAUUAAAGUCCCUUGGCUACCAGCUUGGCUUCUCUUCUUCAUCUAUGGAGAAAUACAACAACCCAGCAGACGUGUCCUUUGAUAGUGUCUCGAGGUCAGGCUUUGGUGAGAUGCUGCGUGACUGGAGAUGGAAGGUUCGACCUAGUGAGCAGGUAGAUGAACUUCAUCUGGCAUUAAAAAAUGCUGGGUUGGGCCACACAGCUGAGGUCAUCAUUCAUGGACUGAGUAUCACCUCAAGGAGGCGCUUUGCACAACUUAGAGAAGCAUGGGAGUCAAAGAAAUAGGCCAACACUUUCCUUGCAAUGAUUAUCCUCAUCCAACGACCAAGAAGAGAUUCACUUGAUUUAUACAUUAAGCUGAGAAGCCUACGUCUUCAGUAACAUAUAUUUUAAUUAGUCUGCAUGAUCCUCAGCCUGACCCUCGAAGUGCAUUUUUCUUCCCUAGCCAAUGCUGCUGGGAGUCAUGUAGCUAAGCUACAUAUGAGAAUUAUUUCUGUUUAACCUUGAUAGUAAAUUAAUAAAAAAAAAAAAGAACAACAAGAGAAGCAGACUAGUGAGAGUUUGAAGGAAAUCAGACAGAAAAGGAGUAAGUUAUGAAUAUUUGACAGUUAUAUUCACUAAUUAUGGGCACUUCAAAGUGGUUACAAAAAAGGCUCUCAAAAUCCCCUCAUAUUUGAAAGUUGACUGAAGAAGCUUUUAAAAAUGUAGACUAAAUUGAGACUGCAUGCGACCUUCUGCAAAAUAAAUUGAGUCAAUUUUACGUCAUUUCGAUUGAAUAAAAAUCUUUAGAAUACAACUUUGUGGAUACACCCUCGAAUCAAACAGUCCCAAUACCAUAAGCAGUUUCUUUUCUAAAACAAUGGCAUGACCAGUACUUAUCUCUCUUCAGGAUGUAUCAAACUUGGUUCAGUUGUCUUAGUGGCUAUAAUAAUGUGUUCGUUGUGAAAGGUUUGUGUGGAAAGCGUUUCAGUUUUAUCGCCGCAAUAAUUAUAUGCAUGGCAUAACGACAACAGAAAUUGUUCUUCUUAUAUAAAUGUUGCAUGGCAAAUGUUUUAGUUAACUAGCUAAAACCAUCAUUUCAUGAAGCAACUGAUAACCCUAUUAAAUACAAGUAUUGCCCUUUUGUAAAAUUGUCUCGAUUCUAUUAAUACAAAUACGUUAUGCAUAAAGUAAUAACCGCAGUAAGUACGUGAUAUUAUUUAUGUUAAGGUUGUGUGAAUACUGUUUCAGUUAUAUAGGAUUUUCCGGCCAAAUUCGCGAGUUGGUCAUCUUAAUUAAUUUGUCUUGCGUUCAA
Long non-coding RNA from Strongylocentrotus purpuratus (purple sea urchin), 1546 nucleotides. RefSeq lists it as uncharacterized. The record is from RefSeq and is a predicted model, not a curated record. The transcript is spliced from 4 exons. Lineage: Eukaryota; Metazoa; Echinodermata; Echinoidea; Camarodonta; Strongylocentrotidae.